CCCUCAGCCCCAUCGCUCCCCUCAGCCCCAUCGCUGCCCUCAGCCCCAUCGCUCCCCUCGGCCCCUCGCUGCCCUCAGCCCCGCGGCCGCCUCGCCGCCUCCCUCGUUGCUCUCCCCCAUCCGUUAGGCUCCAGCUCUGGGAAUCCUGUCGUUUCCUCCUGUGGUGGCGGGUUUGGGGGGCGUCUGGCACAUUCCGGGUGUUGGGGGCUGCAGGGGCUCGGCUCUCCCGGGCCCAGGAGACCGGUGAAGCCCUCAGUUUGUUGGGUAGCGAAGGCAGGUAGCUCAGGAAGCAGAGUUCACGCUUGUCUCAAGCAGCCACCUGCCGCCCUGGGGACCUGCAGCAGUGGCCCAGGAGGUUGUGACACAAGAAACACAUGGAGAAUCAUAUUAUUACAACCACAGAUCAAUUCAGGUAUUUUGGCAGGCAAAAAGAAGAAAUCUGAAGCUGGAAUAGAAGAAAGAGCUAAAAAUUAACGGACCACUGACUUUGAAGUUUGAAGCUCAAGUGACAUUGAGGAGAAACUGUGCAAUUAUCCAGCUGCGCUGACACCAUUAGGGAGCUUGUUCUGGAUCACAGUGGGUCAAAAAGGAGAAGAAGAAUGAAUUAAAGCAUCACCAGUUGGUUCAACAAUUCCGUUCACUUCUGCUGACAAGAAAGGAUGUUGGCUGAUGACAUGGAGAUCUAUAACUCACUUGGAAGGGAGCUGCUAAACACAAUGGCUCACAAAUCUUCAUCUAGGGCAGCAAUACUUACAAGUACUGUGGCAUAGAUGUGUGAGAAUGAUUUCAUUAUUGAAACCAUUGCUAAGGGAAGGAAUUGAGGAGGUGAAAAUGGGCAGAUACUGAUUCUGCACCAGAAGCUCCUAGAACAUAAAAAAUCUAUAGAUGCUAGCUGAGAAUUUUGCAAGUGUGUCUGAAUGCCAAAUCAACUGAGCAGCUCCCUGGCUCUUGCACAUGCAAAACAUUUGAAUUUCCUGUUGGCUCAGAGAUAUUAACUGACUGAAAAUCAAUAUUUGAAGGAAAGAGAACAGCUGGGAACCUGGAGUUCAGCAUAGGCAUUUUGCAUAAUAGGGAAUUCUUGUUUUCUAAGAAGCUAAGACAAGAAAAAUUAUUGUCUGGACACUUUGCCUCCAGAUUUAAUUUUUUUUUAAUAGAAAAUGGUGAAUUCUUUUUUGGAGAACUGUCAAACAAAAAAGUGGAUGUCAUAGCUGCAUCCUGUAAAUGUCUCUUUAGUUUCACCAAUGGUAAAACCUGUUUUGACCUAGUAAAAGACAAUAGCCCAAAUGGCCUGUUUAAUAUACCAGAGAAAGCACAGUGUCUCCAAAGGGCCUGGGAUAAGUGAGCACCCAGAAUCCCAGAAAGCCAAGACAUUUGAAGGCAGUCAGACUUGAUUUAAUUAUUUUUUACUACAAGUCUCAUUUCAGAGAAUGAUUAACGGGAGAAGAGACAUAAAUGGCAAAGUCUUGAUCAAAGAAGCUGCUGUCAGGGUACCAUCUAGAUAAAUUAGGAAAAGAAUGCUCAGGUUUCUGUGAAAGAAGACUAAUGACAUCAAGUCAAGAUGAAAUAGAAAGGAGCAGCAUUGCAGGCUGGAAAUCAUAAAAGACUAGCAUGCCCUGACAAGAAGCCCUGAGAAAUUUCCCGAACUGGAAAGUAAUUGGAAUUGGAAAGGAAUUACUUUCUGUAAGUGCUGGGUCUUGAAGUUACGCAGGACUGAAGAUGACCCAGGCACCAAAGUUGCUUUUUGGAGCCUGUCAAGAUGAGUGAAGAAAUCUUCUGGAAGCAUCUGAAGCAGCAGCUGUUAGUAUCAGCUCUACACACUGCAGGUGUUCUGUAUCUUAUGUGCUCACUCUACUCAACCAGGAUCAGUCCCUUCACUUAAAAGCUCAAACGGUCCCACCUGGAGGCAAGCAGACAGUGGAUAAAAGGAGACUGUGAAACUAACAGUCAGUAAGCAUUUGUAUAAUUUAGAUAACUUGUUUGCAGGAAUGGCAGUCUCCUGGAGAGAGCAGUGGCCCUAGCUGAAAUCAAGAGAAAGCUUUACAAGUGAUGUGAAUGUACUUGUGCGAAGAGAGACAUCUUAGCAGAGUUCUUGAACAGGAGAUAAUCUGACACAAGGUGUAUUUACAGCAUAGCACUACUGGUCUUCUGAUGAAAUUUUCAAAAUUUGGGAUGAGUGGCAAAUUCUUCAGUGAAUCCAAGGGAACCAGAUUAUGGAUGGUCAGCUUAGCAAGAGAAACCAAGGUACCAGUGAGGAAGAGGUGAUUUCAGAGCUAACUAAGAGUUAACUGGCUAUGUUUCAACUGUCACCAUUGUCUUAAAUCUACAUAGAGAGUGGAGAGAGCCAGAGAGGUAUAAGUACAGCAGGACACUGGGAAAAAAAAUGUUUCAGAGAAAAAUGAAACCCCUUCCUGGACCUUGGAUGAGCGUGAGGAAAAGACCCAAUUUCUGAAGCCUCUAGAGAGGAGCAGGGCCUCAACAGAGGGAGAAGGAGGUACUUGAGAAAUGCAAGCUCAAGGCAGGCUGUGAGGAACAUCUACACUUAGAGAAGUCUUUCUGGAAAGCCAAUGGAAAUUAUUUGCUCAAAUAUUAGUGAUUUGUGAGAUAAUCUAUUAUAGAUUAAUCAUUUCAGUCUUAUGGUGCAAUGUCAAAAAUAAAUUUGGGUUAUGAAGCUGGAGGGGAGCCACUUGGGGGUCGUGUGUUCUCACUGAUGCUCCUUAUUUGACUUUGAAAACAGCCUCAUGACGAGAUUUUUGAAGCUGAUUGUUACCCCAUGGAAUCCAAAUCACAAGCUCCUCCAGCAAUCAGUGGAACUAUUAAUUAACCUGAGGUCAGUCCCUGGCCCAUUGCAAGCAUGGCAGGAUCCAUGAAAGAGGGCAGAUACAGAGGAAGAUACGGGCUCACAUUCCAGCAAAGAUGUCCACAGAAGGAUGUGCUUCCCUCUAAGGAGCUAUCAGGUCCCAGUGACACUGCUGCCUUCUAACAUGGAUGUUCUUCAACCUGCACCACUCAUCCAUAGGACAGAGCUUCUUUUAUACCAUCUUCCCAACACAGGACUGAGGUUCCUGUGGAAAUACUGUCUGUCAGUGUUCCUACCUGUGCCUGUGGUGGGUGCUGAAUCUCAGGAGAACAGAGAUCGAGCACAUCCGUGAAAAGGGUGGCUGGUUGGGAUUGCAUCUGUGAAGCAGCACAGUCACCAAGGAGCAGGUUGGAGAAGAAGCAGCACUUCUGUACCCAAGGCAUGAGACAGGGGGGCCCUCAGGAGCCAGGCACCCGCUGUGGUUGGUGGGAUACAAACAAAUCCCAUGGAGAAUGAAGAUGCUCCCAUGAAGCAUAAAAUAUCUCUCCAGAUUUCAAGUCAACCAGGAAUGAUAGAAGCUUGUUCAGGGACUCCAGGCAGUGGCUGGUGGGUUCUGCAAGGCCUAGGGGCAGGAGCAUUGUGGCUUCCCCAGAAUAUCACAAGCAUGUAGUUGCCAGCAAACCCCAGGUGCACACAGAAUCAAUCUGGAGCUGAAAACAUCCCCGUAGGAAGCGUACACAUCCCUGCUUAUACAGGAACAGAAACAGCAAUAACUUCAGGUCCUGUAAGCUGCAAGUUCAACUUACAGAGAUGAGCCCUGACUUGUCAUCGCUCUCAGCGUGCUGGUGAUGAGAUCAGAGCACUCCACCAAGGACUCAUACUUCCAGCUUGACAAGGGACAGAGGUGAGCGUGCUACACCUCACUGAUACUCGCCUCUCCAACUGCAGAAAGGAAUCGAGAGCUCCUCUCUGUAACAUGCAGUCACAGCACUGCCAAUCUAAAAUGGCUGAUCAGUAAUACUUUAAUUGCAGUUUCAUAGAAACAAAUUGCUAUUUAAUUGCAGUAAGCUUGUGUGUGGCUUAGCUGGACUGACAACACGCACACACCUGGUAGUAACCGUAGCAAGCAGCAAGGAGGGUUAUCUGGUACUCCACGUACAGAAGUCUCAGGCAGUGCCAUCAAACCCAAAACACAAGUUCACACUGAUUAAAUGUAACACCUGAAAAAAUGUAUACAUUUCCUAAUCUCAAUUUGAUUUUAUAUUUUAAUAGAGCUGUUCAGAAUAGAUACUUGCAAAAAGCUGCACUCUUCACAUACACCUAUCAGCAAAAUCCUUUGAUUAAAGGUUUAAAUUGAAACGAUAUUUUGAAAUCACAGAAUCAGGCUGGAAAAGACCUCUGAGAUCAUAGAGUUAAACUGAACACCACCGUGUCAACCAGACUGCAGCACUCAGUGCCAUGUCCAGUCUUUCCUUAAACACCUCCAGGAGCAGUGACUCCACUGCCUUGCUAACAAGGCAUACUCUGCCACUGUGUGAGUUUUGGGGUUUUUUAGUAUUUACCCUAAUGUUAUGUGAUGCAAAUUUUAUUGGUGUUAACUAACAGGGAAAAAGGAAGACAAACUCAGUGCGGUUAAUAUUCUGAACAUGUGACUUAAUUUCAUAGGCUUCAUUUUGUUAAGACAUUCUCAUUUUAUAUUUCAUAAGAUACUGCAUAACCUGUUAAAAUAUUUAAAGAUAAAUCAUGUAGGACUGAAAAGACAGUAUCUUGUUGCAAAAAGAAUUUGGUUUGGAAAGGCUUAAUGUCCCACUGCCUGCCAGGAUGCGUAAAUCUCAUAACUAGACAGCUGGAUAGGUAAAAACAUUAAACCCAUUUAGAGGGCAAUCUUUUUACAAAAUUGUUUCAUUAAUAAGAGUGACAAUUUAUAUGAUUGAGAUGUUUAGAUGCAGUAUAGACAGUGCAUUUUAUCCAGGUUCAUGAGGAUGAUUUCAGAUUAGUAAUAUUUCCUUUGAUUCUUUUUUUAAUAGCAUUCAUUUUUGAAAGGGAAGCUCUUACUGAAUGAUUAUUUGACUUUUCAGCAGCACUAAAUGCAGAGGGUGUAUUUCAGCCUCAGUGCAGCAAAUGCAUGUGAUAAAAGGUGAACAAGUAUGUGUUUUUCUUCACAGAUCUCCUUAAAAAAAAAGAAGUGAUUUUUCACAUAAGGACAAACCUAAGUGUUUCCAGUAGCCUUCUGCCCACACCUACCGUCCCCAUUACAGCCUGUUUCAUUGUGUGAAAUGCCUCUGGUUUCAAGAAAGUGUUUUACCUAAAGCAAGAAUACUACUUAAAUAUGUUCUAUUGUAUAUUCAUAGCUCCAUUAGUCCUCCUGCAAUUUAGCACAUCAAAGCAAAGGCUUCAUCACUUGCAUGUGGAUUAUGCUAACAUGAGUGACAUUUGUAAUCUUAUAGGUCUGCAACUUAAGAAAUGCUUUUAAAGUAAGCUAUUAAAUAGGUAGCUGUGCUUUACAAAUGAGUCAUAUAAUAGUUUAUUUAAAGCUGUUAAUGAACUUCAACCUCUACAUCACUAAAUGCUAUACUACAUUUCUUACUAUAAGUUAUUAGCUAUCUUCUUAGCACUUCUAGGUUAUAUUGGACAACCAAAAAUCUGUACAUGUUAGAUUUAAAUACUGUACCUUGAGUGCUUAUACUGAAAGAAUAUAAAAAGAUGUCUACAGUCUCACUAAUACUUGAAUUCUAUAUUCAUAUGACUUCAAGUGUCUUUUCAAAGAUACUGAAGCAGCACAAUUUACAGACUCUGAAGACUUUAAUGCCAGAUCAAAAAGCUUAGAAACUUAUUUAAAAUACCCACAAGUGCAUUUAAUUAAAGUCAUACAUAGUGUCAGUCAUGUUGUGCUUUAUAUGUUAUGCAACUAGUCUUUUGUCUUUACUGUCUGAUACUGUACAUUGCUGUUUCCUCUGAAACUGGGCUUCCUCAAGCACUGACGUGUUAAAAGUAAAAAUUCAGCAGCCCUCCAACGUACUAGAUAUCAUGAAGUAGAACCUGAAACAAAAAUAUCUGCUGUUGGUUGUUUAUACAGAUAAAUCUAUAAAUCAGCUUUUUGUGUUAUUGGCAUCACAACAAAAAUAAGUCAAGCUCACUCUAUAACCAAGCAGCUGAGCACUGAACACCUUCUAAAAAACAGAAUUAAACAAAAUAAUGGUGUGUUAUGAAUGCAUUAGUUUCCUAUAAAAGUAGAGUAUUUCUUAAUAUUGAUUUGCUUUGAAUUGCAGCAAAGGCAGAUUCGUUGCUUGCAGGUUCCUGACUGAAGGCAUACAGUGGACAGCCACAGAUCCAUGUUAGUAUUCUUGCUAAAAACAUGAAAAAGUCAGAUUUUGUUUUUAUCAAAGUAUUCUGCACAAAUCUACAACUAAACAGCUGAUGGUAAAAACACGCAAAAUGAAGUUGUUCCCUUUGUAAGCUUAGAGGUGGCUCUGCUGCUUUGUGGGGAGGUGGUUUUUGUUUGUUUGCUUUCAGAAAACAGAUCAUAUUUUGAGAUCAGCUAGUUCUCAGAAACAGCCCAGGAAACAGGUUUUUCUUUCCUUAAGAUUAUCAGUGUUGAAAAGUUAAAGUCUCACCACAGCAAACACAACUUUAUGUUGUGCAGAUCAGAAUAGCUAUUGUAUUCCUUUUCAUGAAUACUCAAUUCUAGUGCCCAGCAUGAGGUACAGACCUUUCAUUGGCUUUUAUUUUUUUUGACCUCUUAUGGUAUAUUCAUACCCUCUUAUGCUUGCAUGCUCAGAGACACAGGCACAUCCUCAAAACAGAAGGAACUGGAAAGAAAGAAACCACAGUACCUCUGUUGUGCUGUAAUUCACUGCACUGGGAAUUAUAAUGUACUUGUUGUUACCAGAAUUAAGAAUCUCCAUUAAAAAAAAAAAAAAUUGAAGUAGUACUCAUUAUCCUUGUCACAGGUAACAUAGUCAAGUAGUUUACCAGAGCCUUUCUUGGCAUAAGACAAAAGAAAAAAUCCAAACCAAAAACCUACUUUUAAAGGUAAUUGACAGUUAAGGUGAGAACUACGUAAGAUUAAGUUGCAGAAUGCUUUGAAUGUAAUUAAAAAAAAAAAGAGCAAAGCUUCUAAAACCCAUAUUCGGUUUUGUUUUACUUUUUAUUAUUUAAAUACACCAUACUAGAGCAAAUGUCUCUGAAAAUAUCACAAAUAAAAGAUUUUUCUUCAUUCAGCAAAUUAGAAGUAGGUGAAAAUUUCUACACAGUAGCUGCUAUGAGCCUGACUUUUUUUUUUUUCUUUUUUUUUUCCUUUUUUCUUUUGCCAUGGGAAGUAGCAACAUUAGGACAAAAACACUUACAUGCAUACAUACAUUGUAUUUUACAGAGAUACAAUAAAAGUGUUUGUGAUAGAAUAUCACAAAAGCCACAUCUUUAUCUCAUGUUCAGUUUGAUUGAAACACAUUUCCUUACAACACUUAAAUAUACAAAGAGCAAAUAGAAUGUUGUUAAGGUAAAACACAGGGUACAAACUGGCCAGUGCCCUGCUAAUUGUUAAUGAGGGUAGAAAGCAGAUUUCAAUGCUUCUUUUAAUUAGCUUCAUUAGUCAUCUUCCCCACCCGCCCCCCCCAAGAUGUCCUCCGGUGGAUCUUUUUUCAUUUUCUCUACAGUCUCCCAUUAGCCCAGGUUCAUGGAGUCCUUAAUGUUCAUAUUCAGUCAUUUUAAUACACCAAUAAAUGUGGGAAGGGCAAUCAAGAAUAAAGAAGGUGCAAUGGUAUGGAGCUGGCAUUGAUGCUAGCUACAAAGGUGACUUGUCUACUUGGAGACAUGGGAUCCAUCUGUGAUGAACAAAAUUUGAGAUGAAGGCACGCAUUCUGCAUUACUCUGACCUUUUAGCAGACCUGCAAGAAAUAAAAAUGGGUAUCUUAGCUAAAUUUGAGAUAGGAAACUAUAACAUGACUGCUUUUGUUUUUCCCUAUUCACUAAUCUCUUUUUUAUUAGACUACUUUCUAACUGUGACUUGAUUAAGGCUUUCUAUACUGUCCAUUCAUACCGCUAACGUUUCAACUUUAAACAGCAAAAAGAAAACAUUUUUUACAGUUUCACUACUAAAGAAAGCAGACAUGAAAAAAAGACUACAACAAGAAAUGUGUACUUUCUGGUAACAAAUCAUACAGUGAAUAAGGUGGCUUUUCUGGGCCCUGUUUGAAAGGGGAGAACCAUUAUGCCAUGCCUUUGAAGAAGCAAGUAAUAUAAUCUUGUAAUUGGAAGAAAUAGUGUGUAAAGCAAAUAUGAAGUACAGCCAAUAUCCUCCCAAGGCAACUUUGGUUAAUAUGCUGCAUUGCACAAGAGCUAAAUAUAGAUAUUUCAGGAUUCCCCCCUCCCAUUUAAAUUCCUCAUCUGGUAUGUUAGUUAAUGUUACAUAAACAUUUUAAUAUAUGAAGUCAAACAUGUGCUUUCAUACUGGUGUUAAUGAAUUGUGAUAAUUAAAAGUGUCUAACUCAAUAAAAAUCUAAACUUUCAUGGAUAAAAUAGGAAUGAUCAUCCAUAGUCCUCAAAUACAAUCUGUUUGCAAUUACCAAAAUGAAAUAAUAUAUAUUAGAUUUUUAUGGCUUUUAAAUGACAUUUUGCGCUUCCCAGGAAGUUCUUUUCUCACCCUUUCUCUAAGUUACUAAAAGCCUGAGGUCUAUUAGUAACUGCAACCCCCCACUUUCAAGCUAAUUAAAGUAGUAGAAGCUUGGAGGUUUAAUUCCCCAGAGCUGAAGCUCAGUGUGAGAAAGGUAAUUUGUCUGUCCAGAACAAAGAUUAGGGAGCAGCCAGCAAGCAUAUUUAAUAAAUGAGCAUCAAAUAUCUUCUACUAUGGACACAGACAACACCAAUUAUGUAACUACAAGGGAAUUGCUGAGUGAUAUGUAAACUAGAAGAUUUUUAAGAUCUUCUUUAAGAGAUGUAAUGUAACUCAUACUUUAUUUAAAAGUAUAGAAGCUGAAGACAAACAUUUGUUACGAACACUGCCAACCAGUGGAAAAUGUACACUUUCAGUAGGUGGUAAUAGUGUUGCAAACAAGAAAUACCACAGGAAUACUACUAGUACAAAAAAAGCAGAGAGCAUUCCUGACAAUACAGCCCCUUCAAAUGAAAUGGCACACAGGACAUCACAAACUAAGUUUGCACUCAGCAGGCAAGCAGUACUGAGUUUAGAGAAAACAGGGGUUUUUUUAAACUAUAGGGCAAGUAAUGGGAAGUUAUAAUUUACAUGUGUAAAUUGCCUCAGGGAAGCAAAAGGCAGGAAUGGCAAACAUCCCUGCAUUUGUCUCCUUAAAAAAAACAAACCCAAGUUUUUAAACCAUGUUAUACUAUGCAACCUUUCCUGCCUGCACUGGUCACCUGUAAACUGCAGUGAGACAAGAGUAAGUUCAUCACUGUCACCUUCAUAUGCAGAACAAAAAUGUGUUUUAAUGCUGGGAGUGUCUCAAUCUCUUUGGUUAAAUUAAAAAAAAAAAAACCAAACAAAAAAAA
This is an RNA transcript of Passer domesticus (house sparrow), 9301 nucleotides long. RefSeq lists it as uncharacterized. The transcript has 19 exons. The record is from RefSeq and is a predicted model, not a curated record. Lineage: Eukaryota; Metazoa; Chordata; Aves; Passeriformes; Passeridae.